This 301-nucleotide ribosomal RNA is filed under the name uncultured bacterium. Its description in RNAcentral is "partial 16S ribosomal RNA". It matches the Rfam family "Bacterial small subunit ribosomal RNA", at positions 509 to 807 of the family's 1533-position model. The record is from RNAcentral.
CAGCAGCCGCGGUAAAACGAAGGGGGCUAGCGUUGCUCGGAAUGACUGGGCGUAAAGGGCACGUAGGCGGCGAUCAAAGUCAGGCGUGAAAUUCCUGGGCUCAACCUGGGGGCUGCGUUUGAUACUUGGUUGCUAGAGUGAGGAAGAGGGUCGUGGAAUUCCCAGUGUAGAGGUGAAAUUCGUAGAUAUUGGGAAGAACACCGGUGGCGAAGGCGGCGACCUGGUCCUUGACUGACGCUGAGGCGCGAAAGCGUGGGGAGCAAACAGGAUUAGAUACCCCUGUAGUCCCUGUCUCUUAUAC